UAAAACCCUAAUACUGGUUGAAUUGAAAAUUCAGUUUAGGGUUUAAAACCCUAAUGCUGACUAAAGGAAAAAGAUCAGUUUAGGGUUUAAAACCCUAAUGCUGAUUGCAUGGAAAAGCUCAGUUUAGGGUUUAAAACCCUAAUGCUGGCUGAAUGGAAAAUUCAGUUUAGGGUUUAAAACCCUAAUGCUGACUAAAGGAAAAAGUUCAGUUUAGGGUUUAAAACCAUAAUGCUGGCUGAAUGGAAAAAGUUCAGUUUAGGGUUUAAAACCCUAAUGCUGAUUGAAAGGAAAAAGGUCAGUUUAGGGUUUAAAUAACCCUAAUGCUGACUGCAUGGAAAAGCUCAGUUUAGGGUUUAAAACCCUAAUGCUGGCUGAAUGGAAAAUUCAGUUUAGGGUUUAAAACCCUAAUACUGACUAAAGGAAAAAGUUCAGUUUAGGGUUUAAAACCCUAAUGCUUACUAAAGGAAAAAUUCAGUUUAGGGUUUAAAACCCUAAUGCUGACUGCAUGGAAAAGCUCAGUUUAGGGUUUAAAACCCUAAUGCUGGCUGAAUGGAAAAUUCAGUUUAGGGUUUAAAACCCUAAUGCUGAUUGAAUGGAAAAAAAUCAGUUUAGGGUUUAAAACCCUAAUGCUGAUUGCAUGAAAAAGCUCAGUUUAGGGUUUAAAACCCUAAUGCUGGCUGAAUGGAAAAUUCAGUUUAGGGUUUAAAACCCUAAUACUGACUAAAGGGAAAAUUCAGUUUAGGGUUUAAAACCCUAAUGCUGACUGCAUGGAAAAGCUCAGUUUAGGGUUUAAAACCCUAAUGCUGGCUGAAUGGAAAAUUCAGUUUAGGGUUUAAAACCCUAAUGCUGACUAAAGGAAAAAGUUCAGUUUAGGGUUUAAAACCCUAAUGCUGACUAAAGGAAAAAUUCAGUUUAGGGUUUAAAACCCUAAUGCUGACUGCAUGGAAAAGCUCAGUUUAGGGUUUAAAGCCCUAAUGCUGGCUGAAUGGAAAAAGUUCAGUUUAGGGUUUAAAACCCUAAUGCUGACUAAAGGAAAAAUUUAGUUUAGGGUUUUUAAACCUUAAUGCUGAUUGCAUGAAAAAGCUCAGUUUAGGGUUUAAAACCUUAAUGCUAGCUGAAUGGAAAAUUCAGUUUAGGGUUUAAAACCCUAAUGCUGACUAAAGGAAAAAGUUCAGUUUAGGGUUUAAAACCCUAAUGCUGACUAAAGGAAAAAUUCAGUUUAGGGUUUAAAACCCUAAUGCUGAUUGCAUGAAAAAGCUCAGUUUAGGGUUUAAAACCCUAAUGCUGGCUGAAUGGAAAAUUCAGUUUAGGGUUUAAAACCCUAAUGCUGACUAAAGGGAAAAUUCAGUUUAGGGUUUAAAACCCUAAUGCUGAUUGCAUGGCAAAGCUCAGUUUAGGGUUAAAACCCUAAUGCUGGCUGAAAGGAAAAAAAAAGUUCAGUUUAGGAUUUAAACCCCUAAUGCUGACUAAAGGAAAAAUUUAGUUUAGGGUUUUUAAACCUUAAUGCUG
RNAcentral lists this long non-coding RNA (1509 nucleotides) under Nicotiana tabacum (common tobacco). RNAcentral's name for it is "long non-coding RNA (NTAB_LNC004101)". The record is from RNAcentral. Lineage: Eukaryota; Viridiplantae; Streptophyta; Magnoliopsida; Solanales; Solanaceae.